CCUUUGCACUUCGUCCCCAGCUCGGUCUACGCGGAAGAUGGGGACAGGGAGCUGAAGGCAGCCAUUACCUACGCCAUCCUUGCAGGGACAGACCACGGCAGGUUCCACAUAGACAAUGUGACGGGCGCCAUCACCAUGCUGCGGCCCGCGGAGAGCCGGAGCCACACACCCGCGUUCAGCCUCAGCGUCAUGGCCGCGCAGAUGAACGACGCCAACAAGUACGUGGUGACGGAGGUGCGGGUGAGGGUCCUGGCCGCCAAUGUGCACCCGCCUC
Molecule: long non-coding RNA, 274 nt
Organism: Chelonia mydas (Green sea turtle)
Lineage: Eukaryota; Metazoa; Chordata; Testudines; Cheloniidae
Exons: 3
Source: RefSeq, a predicted model, not a curated record